ACUUGAUGAUGUGGGCAUUUGCGCAAAAGGUCCCUAAAGUACUCCCAUGUCUCGAAAAAUUGUUCCCCAUGCAAUUAGGAGAAACUCGUGAUUGCCUUCCUAAGCU
Small nucleolar RNA from Malania oleifera, 106 nucleotides. Lineage: Eukaryota; Viridiplantae; Streptophyta; Magnoliopsida; Santalales; Ximeniaceae. The record is from RefSeq and is a predicted model, not a curated record.